RNAcentral lists this ribosomal RNA (439 nucleotides) under uncultured bacterium. RNAcentral's name for it is "bacterial SSU rRNA". It matches the Rfam family "Bacterial small subunit ribosomal RNA", at positions 115 to 553 of the family's 1533-position model. The record is from RNAcentral.
GCAUAGGAAUCUGCCCAGUAGCGGGGGACAACUCGGGGAAACUCGAGCUAAUACCGCAUACGCCCUACGGGGAAAGCGGGGGACCUUCGGGCCUCGCACUAUUGGAUGAGCCUAUGCCUGAUUAGCUUGUUGGUGGGGUAACGGCCUACCAAGGCGACGAUCAGUAGCUGGUCUGAGAGGACGAUCAGCCACACUGGGACUGAGACACGGCCCAGACUCCUACGGGAGGCAGCAGUGGGGAAUAUUGCACAAUGGGCGCAAGUGAUGCAGCAAUGCCGCGUGUGUGAAGAAGGCCUGCGGGUUGUAAAGCACUUUCAGUAGGGAGGAAACUGUAACGGAAUAAUACCCGUUACCCUGACGUUACCUACAGAAGAAGCACCGGCUAACUCUGUGCCAGCAGCCGCGGUAAUACAGAGGGUGCAAGCGUUAAUCGGAAUUA